This is a non-coding RNA of Paramuricea clavata, 1256 nucleotides long. Lineage: Eukaryota; Metazoa; Cnidaria; Anthozoa; Malacalcyonacea; Plexauridae. The record is from the annotation of a GenBank genome assembly.
AUUCACGCUAUACUUUUAAUAAAUAUCUGAUUUAUACUUAUACAUUCACUUGCCAGCAAUAUUAUGUUAUCUUGGAUAACGAUAAAGACAGAUGCAUGAGAAAUAGAUAUCCAUUGGGACUAUUUUCGGCAUCACUAUUGUUACAAAGUUUCAAUUAAGAGUUUCAAAAGGAAUGAACAAGUAUAGUUAAAUAGUUUAAAUACCAUCACAGACACGGUAAAUGGAGUUGUGUCAAUCUGUUGCUAUUGUUCUAAAUGCCAGAUCAACUGGCAAUUACUCUAUUUAGCAAGAUCAGGGGCCGGUUCACUCUUAACUACGUUUUAACCACCAUUUUGUAGUUAAAUAGUAGUUAACUCUAAAAUACGCUAUUUUGAUUGGUUGAAUUUCGCAAUACGCGAUAAUGAUUGGUUGAAUUUCGCAAUACGCGAUUUUGAUUGGUUGAAUCAGGGUUGGAUUUCGCAAUACGCGAUCUUGAUUGGUUGGAUUUCGCAAUACGCGAUCUUGAUUGGUUGGAUUUCGCACUAACUGUAGUUAACUUUAACUGCCUUUUGUCCUUUUUAUACAACCGGCCCCAGAUUAUAAGCUUUUGGUUCUCCCAGGGCAUCUCUUAACCAGGGGUGCCUAAUUAUUUAUCCACCUAAUAUAGUCCAGUUAUAUUCAUCCAGGACGUCCUGGUCUAACUAUAGACUAUUGUAGGAAAAAGGUUAAAAUAACCAGAAAAUUUACUCGGAAUAUUAAAGUUAACCCAAAUAGGAUUAUUUCUAGGUUAAAAUCUGGAAACUUUUGACCAGAGUGUUUUUUAGUUCGAUUAUCAACUGAUAGCUUUGACUAAUCCUGACUGAAUACACCUCUCCCCAAAGUACUUAGCCUUGGUCAUACCAUAGCCUAUCGAGGGGAAGAUGGCUGUGAAACUCAUUGGAAUAACAAUAUAACUCAUUAUCUAUGUUGGUCAACGUUUAUUCAUAAAUCUGGUCCGUCACAUGUGUAUUGUAUUCUUGCCCAACUAGCCAAUAACAAUGUUUUAGGAAAGUCAUCUAUACGUGACUCGGACAAUAGGGAAACUGGAAAUUACUAUUGGUGGAUUUGGUAAAAAUACCGAUACACACGUAACGGUGAAACGACCAGAUUUAUGAAUAAACGUUAACUAACAUAGAUAAUGAGUUAUAUUGUUAUUCUAAUGAGUUUCACAGCCAUCUUCCCUUCGAUAGGCUAUGGUCAUAUACAGCAUUAUUUUCGAAAUUGAAAUAUCAGCUUUA